This 208-nucleotide unclassified non-coding RNA is filed under the name Hevea brasiliensis (rubber tree). The record is from RNAcentral. Lineage: Eukaryota; Viridiplantae; Streptophyta; Magnoliopsida; Malpighiales; Euphorbiaceae.
GUUGGAACGUUGGCAAAUCACCUUACAAUGGUAUAAUAAGAUACCAAGCUUUCUUGGUCAGUGAUUCAAGGGCGUAAUCUAAUGUGCAAAAAACACCGUAUUGAAAUGACUUCUCCUGAGCCAUCCUUUCUGAGAUAUGCAUAUCAUUGCACAUGUCUCUUUUGUUAUGCAGUUAUGCUGACAAUUCAUUGAUUUUCUGCUUUGGCCA